This 1080-nucleotide ribosomal RNA is filed under the name Bacteroides ovatus. Its description in RNAcentral is "bacterial SSU rRNA". It matches the Rfam family "Bacterial small subunit ribosomal RNA", at positions 179 to 1265 of the family's 1533-position model. The record is from RNAcentral. Lineage: Bacteria; Pseudomonadati; Bacteroidota; Bacteroidia; Bacteroidales; Bacteroidaceae.
ACGAAUAUCGCAUGAUAUUUUUAUUAAAGAAUUUCGGUUAUCGAUGGGGAUGCGUUCCAUUAGUUUGUUGGCGGGGUAACGGCCCACCAAGACUACGAUGGAUAGGGGUUCUGAGAGGAAGGUCCCCCACAUUGGAACUGAGACACGGUCCAAACUCCUACGGGAGGCAGCAGUGAGGAAUAUUGGUCAAUGGGCGCGAGCCUGAACCAGCCAAGUAGCGUGAAGGAUGAAGGCUCUAUGGGUCGUAAACUUCUUUUAUAUGGGAAUAAAGUUUUCCACGUGUGGAAUUUUGUAUGUACCAUAUGAAUAAGGAUCGGCUAACUCCGUGCCAGCAGCCGCGGUAAUACGGAGGAUCCGAGCGUUAUCCGGAUUUAUUGGGUUUAAAGGGAGCGUAGGUGGAUUGUUAAGUCAGUUGUGAAAGUUUGCGGCUCAACCGUAAAAUUGCAGUUGAAACUGGCAGUCUUGAGUACAGUAGAGGUGGGCGGAAUUCGUGGUGUAGCGGUGAAAUGCUUAGAUAUCACGAAGAACUCCGAUUGCGAAGGCAGCUCACUAGACUGUCACUGACACUGAUGCUCGAAAGUGUGGGUAUCAAACAGGAUUAGAUACCCUGGUAGUCCACACAGUAAACGAUGAAUACUCGCUGUUUGCGAUAUACAGUAAGCGGCCAAGCGAAAGCAUUAAGUAUUCCACCUGGGGAGUACGCCGGCAACGGUGAAACUCAAAGGAAUUGACGGGGGCCCGCACAAGCGGAGGAACAUGUGGUUUAAUUCGAUGAUACGCGAGGAACCUUACCCGGGCUUAAAUUGCAACAGAAUAUAUUGGAAACAGUAUAGCCGUAAGGCUGUUGUGAAGGUGCUGCAUGGUUGUCGUCAGCUCGUGCCGUGAGGUGUCGGCUUAAGUGCCAUAACGAGCGCAACCCUUAUCUUUAGUUACUAACAGGUUAUGCUGAGGACUCUAGAGAGACUGCCGUCGUAAGAUGUGAGGAAGGUGGGGAUGACGUCAAAUCAGCACGGCCCUUACGUCCGGGGCUACACACGUGUUACAAUGGGGGGUACAGAAGGCGGCUACCUGGUGACAGGA